UACGUAGGGUGCGAGCGUUGUCCGGAAUUAUUGGGCGUAAAGAGCUCGUAGGCGGUUUGUUGCGUCUAUCGUGAAAACCUGCAGCUUAACUGUGGGCUUGCGGUGGAUACGGGCAGACUUGAGUUCGGUAGGGGAGACUGGAAUUCCUGGUGUAGCGGUGAAAUGCGCAGAUAUCAGAAGGAACAUCAGUGGCGAAAGCGGCUUCCUGGUCCAGUACCGACGUUCAGGCACGAAAGCGUGGGGAGCAAACAGG
RNAcentral lists this ribosomal RNA (253 nucleotides) under uncultured bacterium. RNAcentral's name for it is "partial 16S ribosomal RNA". It matches the Rfam family "Bacterial small subunit ribosomal RNA", at positions 524 to 776 of the family's 1533-position model. The record is from RNAcentral.